RNAcentral lists this ribosomal RNA (788 nucleotides) under Ralstonia solanacearum. Its description in RNAcentral is "bacterial SSU rRNA". It matches the Rfam family "Bacterial small subunit ribosomal RNA", at positions 137 to 922 of the family's 1533-position model. Lineage: Bacteria; Pseudomonadati; Pseudomonadota; Betaproteobacteria; Burkholderiales; Burkholderiaceae. The record is from RNAcentral.
UGGGGGAUAACUAGUCGAAAGACUAGCUAAUACCGCAUACGACCUGAGGGUGAAAGUGGGGGACCGCAAGGCCUCAUGCUAUAGGAGCGGCCGAUGUCUGAUUAGCUAGUUGGUGGGGUAAAGGCCCACCAAGGCGACGAUCAGUAGCUGGUCUGAGAGGACGAUCAGCCACACUGGGACUGAGACACGGCCCAGACUCCUACGGGAGGCAGCAGUGGGGAAUUUUGGACAAUGGGGGCAACCCUGAUCCAGCAAUGCCGCGUGUGUGAAGAAGGCCUUCGGGUUGUAAAGCACUUUUGUCCGGAAAGAAAUCGCACUGGUUAAUACCUGGUGUGGAUGACGGUACCGGAAGAAUAAGGACCGGCUAACUACGUGCCAGCAGCCGCGGUAAUACGUAGGGUCCAAGCGUUAAUCGGAAUUACUGGGCGUAAAGCGUGCGCAGGCGGUUGUGCAAGACCGAUGUGAAAUCCCCGGGCUUAACCUGGGAAUUGCAUUGGUGACUGCACGGCUAGAGUGUGUCAGAGGGAGGUAGAAUUCCACGUGUAGCAGUGAAAUGCGUAGAGAUGUGGAGGAAUACCGAUGGCGAAGGCAGCCUCCUGGGAUAACACUGACGCUCAUGCACGAAAGCGUGGGGAGCAAACAGGAUUAGAUACCCUGGUAGUCCACGCCCUAAACGAUGUCAACUAGUUGUUGGGGAUUCAUUUCCCUUAGUAACGUAGCUAACGCGUGAAGUUGACCGCCUGGGGAGUACGGUCGCAGGAUUAAAACUCAAGGAUUGACGGGGACCC